AUGGCCGAACCUGCCCUCACCUUCAUCCUUCUCUUCCUCAUUACUCUGGUUUUCACCAUUGCAACCACUGCUUUCAAGAAUAUUAUCUUCUGUACUACAGAACCGCUGGUUGUAUCUCCAAACAUCACAUUACAACCUGUCUGGGAAGGUGAAUUCAAAGCCUUAGGGGUCAGACUCAUCUGCACCUUGAGUGGAUUCUUUCCAGAUAAACUGAGUGUGGAGUGGAAGCUGGACAACAACCCUCUAGUGAUUAAUCCAAUCGAAAGGAAGCUGCAGACCGUGGAGGGAGUGAAAAAAACAUUUAGUUUUAGCAGUGAGAUUGAGCCAAACAGCAAGGAGUGGGCAAAAGGCUCAAGCUAUACAUGCAAGGCGAUUCACAACAACAUUGAAUUUACAAAGACAAUUAGUGUCUGUCAAAUCGUUCCAAGCACCACUCCUGCCAUGCAUUUACAAACCCCGAGCUUCAAGACGGUAAUGGAGGCAAAGUCAGACAUUGAGGCAACAUGUUCAGUCUGCACUAUUUUUGAUGCCACUGUGACAUGGAGGCUGGAUGAUGACUCUCCCUCCAAAGAACACAUCAACCAGGUCACUAAUGCAAGUCAUAUAAUAAGCACUCUGACAGUUUCAUCAAGCAGCUGGCAAAGACUGAAGAAUCUAAAAUGUAAGGCUGAACAUCACUGCUUCUCUUCUACUGAAGUUACAUUUGUUCCAGGGCCUGCAGUAAGACCUCCAUUGAUUCAGAUCAGAAGAUCUCUCCCACAUUUGCUGAAGGGAGACAGUGCUGUGCUGGAGUGUGACAUCACACAGUCCGACUCCAGGGAUCUAUCUGUCACCUUACAGACUAAUACGAAUGCUAUUAUUGGCAAACAGUUUGUUGAUCUUCCUCAAACCCCAGGACCACAUUCAAUCAGUAGAUUCUUCUCUGUGCCUCAAAAUCACUGGAAGAAAAACACAAGUUUCUACUGCAGAGUAAGCCAAGGUUUCUCUGGCAGUUCUACAUCAAACUCUACUGGCAUUAUCUUUGUGGAUCCAUCAGUGGAGCUCCUUCUGGUCCCAGGUGAAGAGUCUGGACAACAGAGACUGUCGUGCUCUGGAUGGGGCUUUGACCCUCAAAUCAAAUGGUCUUCUGAGUCCCAGCAAAAAUCUCCUUCGACCUAUGACAUCAGCAUGGGUGCAGGUGGACGUGUGGCAGUAACCAGUCAACUUCUUGUCCCUCAAAAAGAGUGGAAAACGGGGAAAAACUUCACCUGUGAAGUCUCUGACAGAAUUCUGAAGAAAGAUGUUCAACAGGAGAUCAGCCUCUGUUCAGUUACUCCCGCAUCAUCUCAAUCAGUUGGGGUCUAUAUUCAGGGACCACCACUCCAGGAGAAUCAGAACACGGGACAAGUGACUGUCACCUGCCUUUUGGUUGGCCCUCUUCUAAAAGAUAUUUCCAUCAACUGGAAAGUAGAUGGAAACACAUAUACCCAUCGUGCCCAUAUAGAGCCACCAGUGAGUCUCGGCAACGGUACAGAAACUUUGCGGAGCUUCCUUAACGUGUCAGCAGAGGACUGGAACUCUUAUAAAAACGUGUCAUGUGAGGGAAAGCAUCCAUGUUCCAAACAGAGCUACAAGGACCAUAUAAAGAAAUGCAAAGACACCAGUCCACCAACAGUGAAGAUUAUACAACCAAGUGCCUCUCAGGCUUCCACAUCACACUUCCUCACACUUACUUGCCUGGUGUCAGAAUUUUUCCCAUCCAACAUAAUAGUGUACUGGAAAAAAGAUGGCCAGAGACUCCCUUCAACUGGCUACACUAACAGUCCUGCAUGGAAGUACACCGGGAGCAGCACUUAUUCAAUGAGCAGCAGACUAAAUAUAACCAAAACUGUGCACGAGGAGUCCACAUAUUCUUGCGUUGUCAGACAUGAGUCAUCCGAAAUGCCCCUUGAAAGCAGUAUAAAGGAUGUGUUUGACGUAUUGGAGAGCUGUGAUUUUUUGGAUAAUAUUAUGUAUGCUGAAAGGAUCCAAGACAAAGAUGAGGAAGGCUGGUUUAUGGCUUUCACAUUUCUCGUUUUUUUCCUCAUCUCCAUCGUCUAUGGUGUCUUUGCAACCCUGUUUAAGACUAAAUGAUGGCGAUCACAGGAACAGAUCAACUUUCAAGAUCAAAAAGUGAAAUUCUGGAGAUUUUUGAUUGUAUCUGGUCUUGUUAAUCUUUAAAUGGGAUAAGAAAUGCUCCCAUCAUUAUGUUCCUUUCCACUGUUUUACAUCUUGUUACUUUUCUACAUGCCAAUUCUUUUGAGAUUAUGCUACCAAUGUCAUGAAAACAAAUCCUGUAUCAUUUGUGCAUUGAGAAAAUAAAUAUUCAUAAAUUGGAAACAAA
Non-coding RNA from Labrus mixtus (cuckoo wrasse), 2362 nucleotides. The record is from the annotation of a RefSeq genome assembly. NCBI's taxonomy places the organism in Eukaryota, Metazoa, Chordata, Actinopteri, Labriformes, Labridae.